Molecule: long non-coding RNA, 2640 nt
Filed under: Coffea arabica (coffee)
Lineage: Eukaryota; Viridiplantae; Streptophyta; Magnoliopsida; Gentianales; Rubiaceae
Description: long non-coding RNA (CARA_LNC002316)
Source: RNAcentral
AUACCUACUGAUCAAGUUCUAAGGCAGUUGAAGUACAUAGAGAAGGUAUGGCAUUUUAUUUUUUUCAUAUCGCAUCUUUAUCUAUCUAGUCAGAACUCAGAAUUGUUGUUGGUUUAUAAAUGUCAGCAAUCACCCGAAUCUUCAAUAAGGCGACUUCUCUCUUUCCCUUCUUCCUGGUCUUUCAUUUUGUGAAAUGUGCUUUAUUUACUUCCAAGUCGUAAUCUAGCUCUCUAAGACGACCUGAGGACACACAUUGUUACCAAAUACAGAUAUUCCAACUUCAUAAGAGGUAAAGAAAAAGUGGAAAAAAAGGGUACCCCAUUUGCACAUUCGCAUUGGUCAAGGCAUCACCAUGAACCUCCCACUUCUUAAACUCAGUAGAGGCUAACAUAAAUGAACUUGCAUUCCGAUGGCCUCCACCACCGAAUUCCUGCAUGUGAUUCUAUGAUGUAUUAACUCUUAACUCUAGCUAUGCAUUUUCAUAACUGUAAGUAUAAUAGUUUUGGAAGAGCAUUUAGAUGUCCAGAGAGAGAGUUCAACAUUCAGGGAGGUAAUCGAAUAUAGAUUGGAUGCACAUAUAUAUAUUUUGGUAUUCUUUAUCAACUGAUCAUACAUACAUGUUCAUAUAAUUUUGAAAUGGUGCAACAAAUUUUUCAGUGUACUUCUGAUUUUGUUUUGAGUAGACUAUUGCUUGUGCAGUUUUCUAGGUGAGACUUGAAUGAUGCACUUAUCGCCUUUUCUAAAUUCAGCUGCUUUUGAAUCUUAUUCAUUAUUGGACCUGCUCAAUCAACUACAUAAAUUUUUUAUGUUGCCUAAUUCAAAAUAAAUUUCGUCUGCAUGCAAUUCCGUUUGGAUUGCAUUUUUCAGGUGGUUUUUUUAAUAUAUUCGGUUAAAUUGGUGCUGUGAAUCUUCUAUAGUAAAUUAUGGGUGGUCAUGGGAUUGUUGGAAACUCACGAGUUUGUGGCAUUGAUGAAUUUCAGAGGGGGGAAGGAAUGAUUACCAAAAGGUUAAUUUCAACAAGAGCAAAUUGAAUAUUGAUUUGAGUUUUGGCUCUUUUAAGUGUAGAAUUCUCCUUACUCAUUAAAGAGACUAACAUGCUCUCUACAAAAUAAUUGGUAUCUUUGAGGCAUAAAUAUCACUUCUGAAUCUUGAUGCCUUCUCUUACUGAAAGUUCAUUCGACAUUUAAGGCAAAUCAUUUUUUUCUAGUUUUGUUUGAAGACAGCAUAAGCAGAGAAUUGGAAUGUCCAGCCAUAGUCAUAGAACUUAAAAUACAAGAAUUCUGUUUACCUUUGAUGGACGUUUCCCUUUAUUUACUCUUCAAUGAUAUGAAAUCAAUGUCCAGCCCAACACGUUUUUAAGUUUAGAGAUCGAUUGCCUUUCAUGACUAGGUGCAUAUUUGCCUUUCAUUUUUAGUUCUAUAAUGCAGUAGCUAUUAAAUAUGUUCUUAAGAACAUGACAUUGUGAUGUUUUUCUGGUGCAUAUCUGCCUCAGAUAUGGCAUCUGAAGCAACAUCUCAGUCAAAAGGGAAAGGCAAAGGGUAUUUCACUUGGACUCCUGAAAUGGAUCGUGUAAUGGGCACCUGUUUUAUUGACCAAAUGAACCAAGGAAACAAAUUGGAUGGUAAAUGUGCAUGGAAGACAGCAGCCUACACCGCAGUAAUGAAUGCUUUAUUCGAUAAGCUCAAUAUAUCUGUGACAAAGGCUAAUAUUAUAUCUCGUUUCAAGACAUGGGAGAAACACUAUGACAUCCUAUACCCACUGCUCCGGUCAUGUAACUCUGGGUCUGCGAUAAUAUGGGACUACUCUAGAGGUAGAAUUGAUGUUCGUGAUGAGGAUGUAUGGAAUGCUCGAGUAAGUGAGAAUCCAAAAAUUCUUCCUUAUAGAAAAGAAAUUGUGGUUGAAAAUUGGGAGGAUAUAUGUACACUGUUUUCACAAGAUUGUGCAAAUGGAGAGGGUGCCCAAACUGUUUUUGAGGCUAAUGCUGAAACUGAAGUUGAAGAGUCUGCUAAUGUAGAGGAAUCAUUUGAGACUGAUUCACGAUCUUUAGAAGAUGAAGUUAUGAAUGCACUGCUAGCUUGACAACGGUCAAAAUCAAAAGCUUCAUCUUCAACAAAUGAUCGUGGCACAAAGAGAAAACUAACGAGCUCUCAAGUACUUUACAAGGUGUUGGGACGAAUGGCAGAUUCACUGGAUAAGUACUUAAAUUCAGAAUGUUCAAAAGUUACAACUAAAAUGGUGGAAGACGAGUUAUCUAAAAUUGAAUUGGAUAGAUUUCAAUUGUUGAAGGGUAUUGAUUUACUUAUGAAUGACAGGACAAAGUAUGACACUUUUUCUGGUCUUCAAGAUGACUUAAAAAAGGAUUGGCUAUUGAUGCACAUUGGUAAUUGAUUUUUUUUUUGGUAAUCUCCAGUUGAAGUUGUUUUUGUAGAAGAAGUUGAGCUAUUUUCUAUUUGUUUUUGGGAUGAUAAGAAUGGAACAUUGGAUCUUUUGUCUGAUGAACUAGCAUUUUUUAUAUUGAGAUUAACAUAGCUGCCUGGGUUGAUGCCCUGACUUGUCCUUGAGCUGCAUGAAGCUUUGCAUUCUUUCUCAAAGUUAAGGAGCUUUUGUAUAAGUGCUCUUCCUGUAUUCUGUUGGUUUUUA